Molecule: non-coding RNA, 118 nt
Organism: Triticum aestivum (bread wheat)
Lineage: Eukaryota; Viridiplantae; Streptophyta; Magnoliopsida; Poales; Poaceae
Source: Rfam
CUCAUACUCCCUCCGUCCCAAAAUUCUUAUCUUAGAUUUGUCUAGAUACGGAUGUACCUAGAUACAUCCGUAUCUAGACAAAUCUAAGACAAAAAUUUUAGGACGGAGGGAGUAUUUU